GACGAAGGAUGCAAGCGUUAUCCGGAUUCAUUGGGUUUAAAGGGAGCGUAGGCGGCCUUGUAAGUCAGUGGUGAAAUCUCUCGGCUUAACCGAGAAAUUGCCGUUGAUACUGCAGGGCUUGAGUACAGUUGCCGUUGGCGGAAUAUGACAUGUAGUGGUGAAAUACAUAGAGAUGUCAUAGAACACCGAUUGCGAAGGCAGCUAACGAAACUGUAACUGACGCUGAGGCUCGAAAGUGCGGGGAUCAAACAGG
RNAcentral lists this ribosomal RNA (253 nucleotides) under uncultured bacterium. RNAcentral describes it as "partial 16S ribosomal RNA". It matches the Rfam family "Bacterial small subunit ribosomal RNA", at positions 524 to 776 of the family's 1533-position model. The record is from RNAcentral.